Molecule: ribosomal RNA, 468 nt
Filed under: uncultured bacterium
Lineage: Bacteria
Description: partial 16S ribosomal RNA
Rfam family: Bacterial small subunit ribosomal RNA
Source: RNAcentral
GACGAACGCUGGCGGCGUGCUUAACACAUGCAAGUCGAACGGAAAGGCCCUGCUUUUGUGGGGUGCUCGAGUGGCGAACGGGUGAGUAACACGUGAGUAACCUGCCCUUGACUUUGGGAUAACUUCAGGAAACUGGGGCUAAUACCGGAUAGGAGCUCCUGCUGCAUGGUGGGGGUUGGAAAGUUUCGGCGGUUGGGGAUGGACUCGCGGCUUAUCAGCUUGUUGGUGGGGUAGUGGCUUACCAAGGCUUUGACGGGUAGCCGGCCUGAGAGGGUGACCGGCCACAUUGGGACUGAGAGACGGCCCAGACGCCUACGGGAGGCAGAAGUGGGGAAUAUUGCACAAUGGGCGGAAGCGUGAUGCAGCAACGCCGCGUGCGGGAUGACGGCCUUCGGGUUGUAAACCGCUUUCGACUGUGACGAAGCGGGAGUGACGGUAAUGGGUAAAGAAGCACCGGCUAACUACGUG